Molecule: ribosomal RNA, 471 nt
Filed under: uncultured bacterium
Lineage: Bacteria
Description: bacterial SSU rRNA
Rfam family: Bacterial small subunit ribosomal RNA
Source: RNAcentral
AACGAACGCUGGCGGCGCGCUUAACACAUGCAAGUCGAACGGGCGUGAUGGCUUCGGCCAUGACGUCAGUGGCGGACGGGUGAGUAGCGCGUGGGAACCUGCCCCAAGGUCUGGGACAACCGCGGGAAACUGCGGCUAAUACCGGAUGAUGCCGCCUUUGGGCGGCCAAAGCUUGAUGUGCCUUGGGAUGGGCCCGCGUCCGAUUAGCUGGUUGGUGGGGUAAUGGCCUACCAAGGCAUCGAUCGGUAGCUGGUCUGAGAGGACGAUCAGCCACACUGGGACUGAGACACGGCCCAGACUCCUACGGGAGGCAGCAGUGGGGAAUCUUGGACAAUGGGCGCAAGCCUGAUCCAGCGACGCCGCGUGGGUGACGAAGGCCUUCGGGUUGUAAAGCCCUUUCGACGGGGACGAUGAUGACGGUACCCGGCGAAGAAGCACCGGCUAACUCCGUGCCAGCAGCCGCAGUAACAC